Molecule: ribosomal RNA, 322 nt
Filed under: uncultured Chloroflexota bacterium
Lineage: Bacteria; Bacillati; Chloroflexota
Description: bacterial SSU rRNA
Rfam family: Bacterial small subunit ribosomal RNA
Source: RNAcentral
GAUGAACGCUGGCGGCGUGCCUAAUACAUGCAAGUCGAGCGAAGGAUGUAGCAAUACGUCUUUAGCGGCGAACGGGUGAGUAACGCGUUGGUGACCUGCCUCGAAGCGUGGGAUAACAGUUCGAAAGGACUGCUAAUACCCCAUGUGGUCGCGAAGGUUAGAGUCUUUGCGACUAAAGGAGAAAUUCACUUCGGGAGGGGCCUGCGUCCCAUCAGCUAGUUGGUAGGGUAACGGCCUACCAAGGCUAUGACGGGUAGGGGACCUGAGAGGGUGGACCCCCACACUGGCACUGAAACACGGGCCAGACACCUACGGGAGGCAG